Molecule: ribosomal RNA, 253 nt
Filed under: uncultured bacterium
Lineage: Bacteria
Description: partial 16S ribosomal RNA
Rfam family: Bacterial small subunit ribosomal RNA
Source: RNAcentral
UACGUAGGGGGCAAGCGUUGUCCGGAAUCAUUGGGCGUAAAGCGCGUGUAGGCGGCUUGGUAAGUCCGCUCUGAAAGCCCGGGGCUCAACCCCGGGAGGCGGGUGGAUACUGUCAAGCUCGAGUCCGGAAGAGGCGAGUGGAAUUCCUGGUGUAGCGGUGAAAUGCGCAGACAUCAGGAGGAACACCAAUGGCGAAGGCAGCUCGCUGGGACGUGACUGACGCUGAGACGCGAAAGCGUGGGGAGCAAACAGG